GAGCGAAACGCGCUCGGGCAACCGGGUGCGUCGUCGGGGUGUUGUGGCCCCGGCCUGAUGAGCAGCUGGAG
This 71-nucleotide non-coding RNA is filed under the name Rhodobacter capsulatus. RNAcentral also lists the same sequence under 1 other name. Lineage: Bacteria; Pseudomonadati; Pseudomonadota; Alphaproteobacteria; Rhodobacterales. The record is from RNAcentral.